This 353-nucleotide ribosomal RNA is filed under the name Anaplasma phagocytophilum. RNAcentral's name for it is "bacterial SSU rRNA". It matches the Rfam family "Bacterial small subunit ribosomal RNA", at positions 93 to 481 of the family's 1533-position model. Lineage: Bacteria; Pseudomonadati; Pseudomonadota; Alphaproteobacteria; Rickettsiales; Anaplasmataceae. The record is from RNAcentral.
UAGUGGCAGACGGGUGAGUAAUGCAUAGGAAUCUACCUAGUAGUAUGGGAUAGCCACUGGAAAUGGUGGGUAAUACCGUAUAAUCCCCGCGGGGGAAAGAUUUAUCGCUAUUAGAUGAGCCUAUGUCGGAUUAGCUAGUUGGUGGGGUAAUGGCCUACCAAGGCAGUGAUCUGCAGCUGGUCUGAGAGGAUGAUCAGCCACACUGGAACUGAGACACGGUCCAGACUCCUACGGGAGGCAGCAGUGGGGAAUAUUGGACAAUGGGCGCAAGCCUGAUCCAGCUAUGCCGCGUGAGUGAGGAAGGCCUUAGGGUUGUAAAACUCUUUCAGUAGGGAAGAUAAUGACGGUACCUA